CGAAGCAGAACAGGUAGUCGCCCCGUUGUAUUUGAUACGAACGGGGAGGAAAGUCCGAGCUCCAAAGGGCAAGGUGCUCCGUAAUGCGGAGUCCCGGUAACGGGAAGGAAAGUGCCACAGAAAGGGAAACCACCCCGAAUGUAUCGGGGAAAGGGUGAAAAGGUGUCUGCCUCAGGCAGAUUCCCGGAACUGAGUAUGCACCGGGGAAGGUAAGAGCUCACCAGUGUCACGGGCGACCGGACAGCUUGGUAAACCCCACCUGGAGCAAGGCCAAAUAGGUUCCGCGUUGAGAGGGGCCCCUUCAAAUCCCUGUCUCGGCAGGGAGGCGGAACGGGUAAGGCCGCAUGAUCCUGGCUGUAAGGUCAGGGCUUAGAUGAAUGACUACAGUCCGCCUCAGGCGGAUUACAGAACUCGGCUUAUGGACUGCUUCGGCAU
Molecule: RNase P RNA, 435 nt
Filed under: Nitrospiraceae bacterium
Lineage: Bacteria; Pseudomonadati; Nitrospirota; Nitrospiria; Nitrospirales; Nitrospiraceae
Description: RNase P RNA component class A
Rfam family: Bacterial RNase P class A
About the family: Ribonuclease P (RNase P) is a ubiquitous endoribonuclease, found in archaea, bacteria and eukarya as well as chloroplasts and mitochondria. Its best characterised activity is the generation of mature 5'-ends of tRNAs by cleaving the 5'-leader elements of precursor-tRNAs. Cellular RNase Ps are ribonucleoproteins.
Source: RNAcentral